UUAUGGUUGUAUCAGGGAAUGGGAUGCCCCUCUCUCUGCAGUAUUGUUUGGUGAGGUCCAGGACCUGAUGUUCAGAAGAACAAAAGAAAAUUGAAUAAGGUGCCUUCUUUGCAUAGCAUAA
This is a long non-coding RNA of Spea bombifrons (plains spadefoot toad), 121 nucleotides long. RefSeq lists it as uncharacterized. NCBI's taxonomy places the organism in Eukaryota, Metazoa, Chordata, Amphibia, Anura, Pelobatidae. The transcript has 2 exons. The record is from RefSeq and is a predicted model, not a curated record.